RNAcentral lists this ribosomal RNA (308 nucleotides) under uncultured eukaryote. RNAcentral's name for it is "partial large subunit ribosomal RNA". It matches the Rfam family "Eukaryotic large subunit ribosomal RNA", at positions 40 to 350 of the family's 3401-position model. The record is from RNAcentral.
AUAUCAAUAAGCGGAGGAAAAGAAACCAACAGGGAUUGCCUCAGUAACGGCGAGUGAGGCGGCAACAGCUCAAAUUUGAAACCUGCCUCCAGGCCGGAUUGUAAUUUGUAGAGGAUGUUUUGGAUAGGGCACUGAUCUAAGUUUCUUGGAACAGAACGUCACAGAGGGUGAGAAUCCCGUACGUGGUCUGUGCCUCUGUCCGUGUAAAACUCCUUCGACGAGUCGAGUUGUUUGGGAAUGCGGCUCAAAAUGGGUGGUGAACUCCAUCUAAAGCUAAAUAUUGGCGAGAGACCGAUAGCGCACAAGUA